GAAUGCAGAGUGCUAUAAGCAAAACGUAUUUGAUUCAAUUCAAAAUAACGAAUUGAAAACAAGUUGAAUCAUAAUUUUUUUUUAUUUUUUUGACGCGGUUUCGAAACUUUGACGCUAAGAAAAUGUGAAUAUGUACAUGAUGACUACAUGUCCACCUUUCCCUCUCAAGGCGACGGUCCACAACAAUUUGGCAGACUUCCAAUUUCCAUUUCUAUCACUGUAUGGCUCUUUUUUCUUUUGGCAGCCACUAAUAUUACUUUUCUUUUGGGGGUCCAAACCAGUUAUAUCACUAUAUGCUAAUCUACACAUUUUAUAUGAUUUUCACUAAUAUCCAAAUUCAGAUUAAUUUGAAAGACACCAAAAAUCGUUUAUGGUGUGAAAAUGAUGCAUUACCAAUAACAAGGAUGAUU
Molecule: long non-coding RNA, 410 nt
Filed under: Brassica rapa (field mustard)
Lineage: Eukaryota; Viridiplantae; Streptophyta; Magnoliopsida; Brassicales; Brassicaceae
Description: long non-coding RNA (BRAP_LNC000077)
Source: RNAcentral